RNAcentral lists this ribosomal RNA (1396 nucleotides) under uncultured bacterium. Its description in RNAcentral is "16S ribosomal RNA". It matches the Rfam family "Bacterial small subunit ribosomal RNA". The record is from RNAcentral.
AGAGUUUGAUCCUGGCUCAGGAUGUACGCUGGCGGCGUGCUUAACACAUGCAAGUCGAACGGGGAUUACACGGAGAUGCGAUUUCGGUCAAAUCAAGUGCAAUCUUAGUGGCGGACGGGUGAGUAACGCGUGGGUAACCUGCCUUGCACUGGGGGAUAACACUUAGAAAUAGGUGCUAAUACCGCAUAAGCGCACGGUCCUGCAUGGGACAGUGUGAAAAACUCCGGUGGUGCAAGAUGGACCCGCGUCUGAUCAGCUGGUUGGCGGGGUAAAGGCCCACCAAGGCGACGAUCAGUAGCCGGCCUGAGAGGGUGGACGGCCACAUUGGGACUGAGACACGGCCCAAACUCCUACGGGAGGCAGCAGUGGGGGACAUUGGACAAUGGGGGGAACCCUGAUCCAGCGACGCCGCGUGAGUGAAGAAGUAUUUUGGUAUGUAAAGCUCUGUCAGCAGGGAAGAAAGCAAUGACGGUACCUGACCAAGAAGCCCCGGCUAACUACGUGCCAGCAGCCGCGGUAAUACGUAGGGGGCAAGCGUUAUCCGGAAUGACUGGGCGUAAAGGGUGCGUAGGCGGUUGUACAAGUUAGAAGUGAAAUACCCAGGGCUUAACUCGGGUGCUGCUUCUAAAACUGUAUGACUUGAGUGCAGUAGAGGUUAGUGGAAUUCCUAGUGUAGCGGUGGAAUGCGUAGAUAUUAGGAGGAACACCAGAGGCGAAGGCGGCUAACUGGACUGCAACUGACGCUGAGGCACGAAAGUGUGGGGAGCAAACAGGAUUAGAUACCCUGGUAGUCCACACUGUAAACGAUGGAUACUAGAUGUAGGAGGUAUCGACUCCUUCUGCGUCGCAGUUAACACGAUAAGUAUCCCGCCUGGGGAGUACGGCCGCAAGGUUGAAACUCAAAGGAAUUGACGGGGACCCGCACAAGCAGCGGAGCAUGUGGUUUAAUUCGAAGCAACGCGAAGAACCUUACCAAGACUUGACAUCGUAUGACCGCCAUAGAGAUAUGGAAUUCCCUUCGGGGACAUAUAGACAGGUGGUGCAUGGUUGUCGUCAGCUCGUGUCGUGAGAUGUUAGGUUAAGUCCUGCAACGAGCGCAACCCUUAUGAACAGUUGCCAAUAUUAAGUUAGGAACUCUGUUCAGACUGCCGAGGUUAACUCGGAGGAAGGUGGGGAUGACGUCAAAUCAUCAUGCCCCUUACGUCUUGGGCUACACACGUGCUACAAUGGCUACUACAAAGGGCAGCGAGCUGGUAACAGUAAGCCAAUCUCAAAAAAGUAGUCUCAGUUCGGAUUGUAGUCUGCAACCCGACUACAUGAAGCCGGAAUCGCUAGUAAUCGCGGAUCAGAAUGCCGCGGUGAAUACGUUCCCGGGUCUUGUACUCACCGCCCGUCA